This is a long non-coding RNA of Triticum urartu, 475 nucleotides long. RefSeq lists it as uncharacterized. Lineage: Eukaryota; Viridiplantae; Streptophyta; Magnoliopsida; Poales; Poaceae. The record is from RefSeq and is a predicted model, not a curated record.
CGCCAUCCUCUCCCCUUCCCUCACCUCCCCCCCGAUGCCAACUGCGGCAGUCGUGCGUGUGCUACAUGUGCAACUGACGGUCGUGCGUGCUGCUGGCGGACAUGGAGGAGUCCGCGCAGCCCAAGCCCGCCGACCCCUCGGAACCGGAGCUCUCCUCGGACCCUCCCAAGGGCGCGGGGACGAACGCGGACGGCUGGCGUCCUCUUCGUGCGACAUGCGGUGCUGGCGGCGGGGUCUGGCUAGCGAUGUCGAGAUCCGCAGGUGAAUCGGCGACUGGUGAAUCGACCCGUCCCCGCGGCGAGCCAUGAGUUAUAUUUCGUGUAUGGAGUGUGAAUGGAACUGAUGGGAGGUGGAGCCCUGUACGGAUCCGCUGUCCCUGCACACACCAUCAAGUCACGACCAAGAGACAGAGAAAGCAUAGGUUGCUCGGGUGCAUGCUAGAGGCUAGAGCUGCAGGAGGUUCAGUUACAUGCUA